Molecule: long non-coding RNA, 533 nt
Organism: Dreissena polymorpha
Lineage: Eukaryota; Metazoa; Mollusca; Bivalvia; Myida; Dreissenidae
Exons: 6
Source: RefSeq, a predicted model, not a curated record
UGUAUGUACAUGUAAGGCCAAAGGUUAAUCUGUAUGUACAUGUAAGGCCAAAUGAAAAUCUGUAUGCACAUGUAAGGCCAAAGGUUAAUCUGUAUGUACAUGUAAGGCCAAAGGUUAAUCUGUAUGUACAUGUAAGGCCAAAGGUAAAUCUGUAUGUACAUGCAAGGCCAAAGGUUAAUCUGUAUGUACAUGUAAGGCCAAAGGUUAAUCUGUAUGUACAUGUAAGGCCAAAGGUUAAUCUGUAUGUACAUGUAAGGCCAAAGGUUAAUCUGUAUGUACAUGUAAGGCCAAAGGUUAAUCUGUAUGUACAUGUAAGGCCAAAGGUUAAUCUGUUAGUACAUGUAAGGCCAAAGGUUAAUCUGUAUGUACAUGUAAGGCCAAAGGGUAAUCUAUAUGUUCAUGUAAGGUCUUCAAGUUUGUGCUUGGAUGGGCAAGAGGGUUAAUGAUUAAGCUGAUUAAACAAUAUAAAGAAAAGACUGAAUAUAUUUGUUUAAGCUCCUUCACUCAUUUGAAGGCAUUCAACAUAAGAUCAG